RNAcentral lists this non-coding RNA (97 nucleotides) under Priestia endophytica DSM 13796. Lineage: Bacteria; Bacillati; Bacillota; Bacilli; Caryophanales; Bacillaceae. The record is from RNAcentral.
GCGAGCCGUAUACAUGGAGACGUGUACGUACGGUUCUGGGGGGGAUGCAUGGGAACCUACCAUAGAAAUAUGGCAAGGCACUGGGUAUCUACGCUAC